This 200-nucleotide ribosomal RNA is filed under the name uncultured bacterium. Its description in RNAcentral is "partial 16S ribosomal RNA". It matches the Rfam family "Bacterial small subunit ribosomal RNA", at positions 29 to 254 of the family's 1533-position model. The record is from RNAcentral.
AACGAACGCUGGCGGCAGGCCUAACACAUGCAAGUCGAACGGGUGCCUUCGGGCACUAGUGGCGGACGGGUGAGUAACGCGUGGGAGCGUACCCUUUGGUUCGGAAUAGCCCUGGGAAACUGGGAGUAAUACCGGAUACGGUCGAGAGACGAAAGAUUUAUCGCCGAAGGAUCGGCCCGCGUUGGAUUAGGUAGUUGGUG